CUGAAGUAUCAGGGGUGGCAGAGUGGAGGAGGAGGCAUCUGAGCUAGCUCUAGACUCUGAAACAUGACCGCUCUCGAGUAGUUCCUCCAUCCACAAAUUAUGCAGUCGAGUUUCCUCGAAUUUGGGGUCAAUACACACGGAGUGCAAUGGAUGAGCCUCGCUCUGGAGAAAUCACCUGCAUAAUCAUGGUAUUUCCCCUUCCAGGAUUCUGUGCAAUGACAAGACCAAGACUGAGCCACGUGUGGUGUUGGAUGCUCCCAUGUAAGGGCAUGGCAGGGGCCAGAAGCUGAUUCCACAACAGGCCAGACAAAUCCAAAAUG
RNAcentral lists this long non-coding RNA (320 nucleotides) under Mus spretus (western wild mouse). Its description in RNAcentral is "RIKEN cDNA 1600010M07 gene (ENSMSPG00010042605.1)". Lineage: Eukaryota; Metazoa; Chordata; Mammalia; Rodentia; Muridae. The record is from RNAcentral.